GCUUACGGACAUACCACCCUGAGCGCGCCCGAUCUCGUCUGAUCUCGGAAGCUGAGCAGGGUCGGGCCUGGUUAGUACUUGGGUGGGAGACCGCCUGGGAAUACCAGGUGCUGUAAGCUUUU
Molecule: ribosomal RNA, 122 nt
Filed under: Cyprinus carpio (common carp)
Lineage: Eukaryota; Metazoa; Chordata; Actinopteri; Cypriniformes; Cyprinidae
Source: RNAcentral